RNAcentral lists this ribosomal RNA (504 nucleotides) under uncultured bacterium. RNAcentral's name for it is "partial 16S ribosomal RNA". It matches the Rfam family "Bacterial small subunit ribosomal RNA", at positions 29 to 523 of the family's 1533-position model. The record is from RNAcentral.
AUUGAACGCUGGCGGCAGGCCUAACACAUGCAAGUCGAGCGGUAGCACAGGGAGCUUGCUCCUGGGUGACGAGCGGCGGACGGGUGAGUAAUGUCUGGGAAACUGCCUGAUGGAGGGGGAUAACUACUGGAAACGGUAGCUAAUACCGCAUAACGUCGCAAGACCAAAGAGGGGGACCUUCGGGCCUCUUGCCAUCAGAUGUGCCCAGAUGGGAUUAGCUAGUAGGUGGGGUAAUGGCUCACCUAGGCGACGAUCCCUAGCUGGUCUGAGAGGAUGACCGGCCACACUGGAACUGAGAGACGGUGCAGACUCCUACGGGAGGCAGCAGUGGGGGAUAUUGCACAAUGGGCGCAAGCCUGACGCAGCCAUGCAGCGUGUAUGAAGCAGGCCUUCGGGUUGUAAAGUACUUUCAGCGGGGAGGAAGGUGUUGAGGUUAAUAACCUCAGCAAUUGACGUUACCCGCAGAAGAAGCACCGGCUAACUCCGUGCCAGCCGCCGCAGUAA